UAAGGCAACUUCAGCGGUGGGGUUCCACCUCUUCCCAUUCCGAACAGAGAAGUUAAACCCACCAGCGCAGAUGGUACCCCGAUGAACAUCGGGGGAGAGUAUGUCGUUGCCGAUU
This 115-nucleotide ribosomal RNA is filed under the name Bacteroidota bacterium. The record is from RNAcentral. Lineage: Bacteria; Pseudomonadati; Bacteroidota.